GACGAACGCUAGCGGCGUGCUUAACACAUGCAAGUCGAACGGUGAAGUAGAGCUUGCUCUAUGGAUCAGUGGCGCACGGGUGAGUAACACGUGGGCAACCUGCCCCAGACUCUGGGAUAACUCCUCGAAAGAGGGGCUAAUACCGGAUAUUUGCAUUGCAAGACAUCUUGUGAUGCAGAAAGAAUUUCGGUCUGGGAUGGGCCCGCGGCCUAUCAGCUUGUUGGUGAGGUAACGGCUCACCAAGGCGACGACGGGUAGCCGGCCUGAGAGGGCGACCGGCCACACUGGGACUGAGACACGGCCCAGACUCCUACGGGGGGCAGCAGUGGGGAAUAUUGGGCAAUGGGCGCAAGCCUGACCCAGCAACGCCGCGUGAGGGAUGAAGGUCCUCGGAUUGUAAACCUCUUUCAGCAGGGACGAAGCGAAAGUGACGGUACCUGCAGAAGAAGCACCGGCUAACUACGUGCCAGCCGCCGCGGUAA
This 482-nucleotide ribosomal RNA is filed under the name uncultured bacterium. RNAcentral describes it as "partial 16S ribosomal RNA". It matches the Rfam family "Bacterial small subunit ribosomal RNA", at positions 28 to 523 of the family's 1533-position model. The record is from RNAcentral.